GACAGCGUGUCCGAGUGGUUAAGGAGGUGGACUCGAAAUCCACUAAGCUCAGCCUGCGCAGGUUUGAAUCCUGCCGCUGUCA
RNAcentral lists this transfer RNA (82 nucleotides) under Perkinsus olseni. It matches the Rfam family "tRNA". From Rfam's summary of the family: Transfer RNA (tRNA) molecules are approximately 80 nucleotides in length. Their secondary structure includes four short double-helical elements and three loops (D, anti-codon, and T loops). Further hydrogen bonds mediate the characteristic L-shaped molecular structure. tRNAs have two regions of fundamental functional importance: the anti-codon, which is responsible for specific mRNA codon recognition, and the 3' end, to which the tRNAs corresponding amino acid is attached (by aminoacyl-tRNA synthetases). tRNAs cope with the degeneracy of the genetic code in two manners: having more than one tRNA (with a specific anti-codon) for a particular amino acid; and 'wobble' base-pairing, i.e. permitting non-standard base-pairing at the 3rd anti-codon position. The record is from Rfam by way of RNAcentral. Lineage: Eukaryota; Perkinsozoa; Perkinsida; Perkinsidae.